UGCUCAUCCCAUAAGGAGCAUCCUUAAUGGUGAGAACAUGAACUCCAUCGGAAGCGACGACCUGUUGGAGCUCUCACUUCCCGAUGAGUCCUGGGUGAACCCGCGAGGUGCCAGAUAUUCAGGGGAAGAAGGAAACCCAUCACCCGUGUUGAGUGAGGCCGGAACAGAACCCUUGGACGCGUCGUGGAAACCACUGACUUCCACGCAGUUACCCACUGGCAGGGGAGCGAUGGUGAGACGGAAGAUCCAAAUGGGAGAUGACCCGAGUGGGUUGGAGAGGAGUCCCUGGAAACCAGGAGACUAGAGAAGAGGAUGGAUGCGAUGGAAAGGAUGUUAGGGUCAUUUUCUCAGCAAAUGGAUGUGUUUCGUCGAGAGUUGGCCACAUCCUGGAUGGCGACAGCCGAGCAGAGAGACCAACGGAGAGCCCAACCCCUGAGAGGAAGAAGAGGAGGAGGAAAUUAUGUUAGGACCAUAAUUUCUGGGCCUGUACUCUGGCGCCAGAAAUCAAGGACGCUGACAUCAAAGACUGAUAAGGCACCUGCGGCUCUCGGCCCUGAAGGAAAACGGCUGGCGUGUGAACGGGAAGAAUUGCGCGGGGUUUUCUCUGGGCAGGAAUUGUUACUUAGAAUGUGGGGGGAGUGUAUAUAAGGGGAUCUUUCUGGGCCGACCAGCAAUCUCGGCUUUAUGUGUGUCAAAGUAUCCUACAGUAAAGUUUUCAGUGACAA
Molecule: long non-coding RNA, 725 nt
Organism: Anolis carolinensis (green anole)
Lineage: Eukaryota; Metazoa; Chordata; Lepidosauria; Squamata; Anolidae
Exons: 2
Source: RefSeq, a predicted model, not a curated record